This 540-nucleotide ribosomal RNA is filed under the name uncultured bacterium. RNAcentral describes it as "partial 16S ribosomal RNA". It matches the Rfam family "Bacterial small subunit ribosomal RNA", at positions 355 to 887 of the family's 1533-position model. The record is from RNAcentral.
UGGGGAAUUUUGGACAAUGGGGGAAACCCUGAUCCAGCCAUCCCGCGUGUGCGAUGAAGGCCUUCGGGUUGUAAAGCACUUUUGGCAGGAAAGAAACGUCGCGGGUUAAUACCCCGCGAAACUGACGGUACCUGCAGAAUAAGCACCGGCUAACUACGUGCCAGCAGCCGCGGUAAUACGUAGGGUGCAAGCGUUAAUCGGAAUUACUGGGCGUAAAGCGUGCGCAGGCGGUUCGGAAAGAAAGAUGUGAAAUCCCAGAGCUUAACUUUGGAACUGCAUUUUUAACUACCGGGCUAGAGUGUGUCAGAGGGAGGUGGAAUUCCGCGUGUAGCAGUGAAAUGCGUAGAUAUGCGGAGGAACACCGAUGGCGAAGGCAGCCUCCUGGGAUAACACUGACGCUCAUGCACGAAAGCGUGGGGAGCAAAACAGGAUUAGAUACCCUGGUAGUCCACGCCCUAAACGAUGUCAACUAGCUGUUGGGGCCUUCGGGCCUUGGUAGCGCAGCUAACGCGUGAAGUUGACCGCCUGGGGAGUACGGUC